GCCCGGUCGCCCACAGUUACUGAGACCAAGUACCGUCUCACACACAAAACCACGUAAAACGCGGCUACACAAGCAAUUCCCGCGCCCCUUCCUCCGCGCGCUUCCGCCCAGUCAUUCCGGACCCCUCACCUGGAAAGACCGUGCAGUUCAGGGUCUAGAACGCGGCGGUCCGAUCAAAACUCGGUUCCGCUCCGCCAGCCCAGCGGGAUCGGAACUAAAAAUCAACCUCAGGAGACCUUCUCCUGUCGCGAUGCCCCAAAACUCGCGAACCAACGGAAACGAACCCGCGUUCGGUUCGCGGGCCCUCUGGGAAAUGUAGUCCAGCGCCCGAACGGCCCGGGCGAGGAGCCCGCAGACCAGGACGACUAGUCUGCUCCCCGGGACCCGCUUCCGGAUGCCGCCUGGCCCACGGCGACCACGGUUCACGCCGGGGGUUUGCGUCCGCGCUCAGUGUGCAGGUGUGGUGGGCGCACUUGUGCUGGCGGUUAUACGUGGACGGGGCGAACAGUGAAUUGACUCCAGGUUCUCGGGGUGACCUGAAAGAGGAGGAAGCAGCCUUUGGUCACCGAGAGAACCUGGUACCAAAGCACUGCCCGCCCCAUCAAGGGCCAAGCCCCCGAGCAGCGCGCGCACGACACCUGCACCUGCGCACUGAGCGCCGAAGCAAACUCCCGGAAGGACCCCGCGCGUCGCAGUUGGGGCGGGCAGCUUCCGGAAGGCGGUCCUGGGUGGGACGCUGCACCUUCUGCUCUCCAGGCUGGCUCGACCUUCUUGGCGAGGGACUACGUUUCCCAGAGGGACAGCGUCCGGAAUGGCUUUAUUUCCUUUUCUUCGCAAGAUUUGGGGGUCUCCGGUAG
This 857-nucleotide long non-coding RNA is filed under the name Dasypus novemcinctus (nine-banded armadillo). Its description in RNAcentral is "lncRNA (ENSDNOG00000051575.1)". Lineage: Eukaryota; Metazoa; Chordata; Mammalia; Cingulata; Dasypodidae. The record is from RNAcentral.